CGGGGUGUGGCGCAGCUUGGUAGCGCGCGUCGUUCGGGACGACGAGGCCGCAGGUUCGAAUCCUGUCACCCCGACCA
Molecule: transfer RNA, 77 nt
Filed under: Propionibacterium sp.
Lineage: Bacteria; Bacillati; Actinomycetota; Actinomycetes; Propionibacteriales; Propionibacteriaceae
Also listed under: 1 other name
Description: tRNA-Pro
Rfam family: tRNA
About the family: Transfer RNA (tRNA) molecules are approximately 80 nucleotides in length.
Source: RNAcentral